CUUCACUUUAACCCUUUCCCUUAGACUUUGGCUGUAGGAAGCUUGUUGUAUUUGUGCUGGUGCUUAAAGAAGUUGGAUAUUCUUCACACUUGGAUAAUACUGGUGGUAUACACCCCAAAGGUGUAAAAACACCUUAAUCUCCACCAAAGAGAGCACAUGGAGCGAAGGUACUCUCCGAUAUACUCAAAAAAUGGAGGGGGAGAGAGAGACCUCUCUUCGGACCAAACCAUCAGGAAGAGGUAACCCAUUGGCAGUUCCAUCUCAAACCUACAGGAAGCGAGGGCGAGUUGGCCAGAGAGGGCGAGAGAGAGGCCAUGUGACCUGCAACUCUUCUCCUCAGACCCAAAAAAGCUUGAUAUCCAAAAAGGGAGAAGAAACAAAACUCUGUGAUUGAGGAGACCAGUCACAAACUACACAUCGAGAAUGGGGACUAAUCAAAGCGAGCAACAUUCAAACACACAGCUGAAAAUUGUUCAUCCAAACUAUUUGGCAAGCAGUUACAGAUAAAAAUAUGAUCACAGAAAGCAGGAUCAGUUUGCAAACAGAAAAAAGUCUGUAUUCAGUGGAUAACUUAUUCACCAGCACUCCUGAUAUCGAAAGAAAAGCUUAGGGUUAGAAAUGAAUUAACUCUUUUGAAGACAACGUAAUAAGUCAUUCUGUACCUGUCCCCCUUUCUCAGUACUGCAAAUUGUUACUAGUUAGAGAUCUACUUGUUUGUAACCUAAAAUCAAGUAGUUGGAGAUGUCUACUAAAUUUGCACCCACAAUUCAUUAUGGUUGCAAAAAUGAAUACAUGUAUUUAUAGGCACAAAAUUGCACCCUGGAAACUGGAGGAUGGGUUAUAGCCCAGUUGAAAACAUGCCCCUUUAUCUGCCAAUGUGCUCAUCACUGUAUAAGAUGCUCCCAAAGAUGCUCUCAGGAGCUUACAGUCUAAAACACUGAUUGGACAAGAUGCACUGGGAAACAUUGCAUAUUCCCCCCUCCUCCCAGUUUGUAUACCGUUAGUGCAGGGAGCCCAUUUUUAUUCCUGUUUGUGGCCCUUGAGGGGUAAUUUGAAUGACAAAGCCCUGGCACACUGGACUGGAAAGUUGUUUCAUGGUAUGGAGGAGCUAUUGAUUCUGGCAUUACAAGGCAGAUGAAAGAAGAUGAUCAUCUGACAUGAAGGUUGAGAAGUUUAAGAUGGGCCUGGGAAAACCAGUGAAAUGAUUCUAUGGAGGGGAGUUCUGUAGUCUGAUCAGGCAAGGGUAGUAGAUCACACACUUUAAUAUUGCCAGUGGAUACAUUUCAUGGAGCUAGAUAUGAUCAGAGAGGUAGAGAUCAUGAUGUUUUCAUGAACUGGCCUUUUGGCUUUGGAGAUAGGCAUUCAAAUCCUGUUUCAACUCACAAGUGAAAAUCAGUGUGUUUGGUCUCAUACUGGUCCUUAUUUGUGCUUAUUGUAAGACCAUCAGAUAAUCAGGUAAACUGUCAAUCUCUGCUCCAGAGAGGUUUAGGGGAAGAGUUUUUUUUGCAAGCUUGAAUUGGUGUGAUUUGGAACGCAUGCAUGGAGAAGCGUACACAAUAUCUGGCUCAAGCCAGUGUUGUUAGUACCUCGAUUUCAUAAAUACUAAAUGCGCUUUCAGAUUUUUAAAUAAAAAGAUACUGGCCAUUUAUUAACUCACUGAAAUAUCUGAUUUUUAGGAACAGCAGAUUACAAAACAAACUGGAUUUUCAGUCUACUCAAGGGUGAACAGCAAACUUGUUUUCACGCAUAGCUAACUUGCUUGUUACAUCUCAUUGCAGGGUGUUUGGGCCAUAGUUCACUUAAUUUUUUUUUCACCUUUAAAUACUUCAAAUGCACAUUAAUUCUUUGGGGCAAAUGUAUUAGCAAGUGUUAAUUUGACACAAGUACACAAUGGUCUUGGCAACAUAGCUGCAGGCUGGAAAGAUUAGCUUGCUAAACACCUUGCACAUGCUCUUGAGGAAACUCUUCAAACAUGAGCUCUGACGCUUAAUUAAAUACUUACAUGUUGCUGUUCUGUCUCAGCUCAGAUGGAAGCAAUAGCACCUACUGUGUUAGCUGCUUCACAGAAUAUCUUCCAUAUGAAA
Long non-coding RNA from Mauremys mutica (yellowpond turtle), 2084 nucleotides. RefSeq lists it as uncharacterized. The transcript is spliced from 3 exons. The record is from RefSeq and is a predicted model, not a curated record. Lineage: Eukaryota; Metazoa; Chordata; Testudines; Geoemydidae.